This 2237-nucleotide long non-coding RNA is filed under the name Brachypodium distachyon (stiff brome). RNAcentral's name for it is "long non-coding RNA (BDIS_LNC004769)". Lineage: Eukaryota; Viridiplantae; Streptophyta; Magnoliopsida; Poales; Poaceae. The record is from RNAcentral.
GGCCUCUUUACUCAAGGUGGACGAAAAUCUCUCUCCCUCCUCCUUUAUAUAUCCCAUGAGCCCCCCUAUGAAGACUGGGGUUUUGAUUAGAUAAAGUUUAGCCAUCUUUGCUACUUUCGUGUAAUCGCGUGUGUCGGUUAGACCACCUGUUUUACCGCUUUCGGAACCUCAACUUAUCGUCUCGUUGAGACAUUGGUUUGAUAUAGUAUAUUCCCAAUUUCAGAUUGCAUCCGCUAUUUAUCUUGUUCUUGCUUGUUCUUCGAUUGCUUGCAAGAACAAAGACCUUCGUGGUCAGGUUGAUCGUGCCCCCGCGUGAUCAAUAACCCUCUGGAGUUUGUGUAUCGAUUGCUAAGGCGCUGCCUUCUAGGCCGUAGUCGGAUCUUCAACGUCACCUCCUACCCAAAUCGAGAGUUAUCAAUCUCAUCGAAAGAUCGGGCCACCCCGACCCACAUCACGUGGUAUCAGAGCUUAAGGUUGCUCGAUGAGAUUUUUUCCAGUUUAUCCGUAGUUUAGAUCUGUUUUUACCUAUCGUCCAGAAAAAGCCAAACAAACCUUGUCCUAGAACCAAUCUGAGCCUUGCAAGUUUCACAUUAGUAUUUGCAUUGUUGAAUCUUUGCUGCAAUAAUCGUGUCGAGUUGCUGGAUUAGAUUGGAUCGUUUUUCAGAUUUUUUCUACUACAUCGAACUUGCUUUUGGUUUUCUUGUUCUUCGUGUGACGCAGGUUUCCUUCAUCAAUCUUCCGCCGCCAAACUCCCUGCCACACCACCGCCACGCCAUAAUCUUCUGCUACCACCAUAUCUUCCAUCGAGUCCCUUGUCGAGUCCUACACUGAGUCCCUCGUCGAGUCCUACACCGAGUCCCUCUUCGGCAAGUUAUAGUUUUCAGCCGAGAAUCCGAGUUCGAGUCCAAUCGGGAGAGAGUUGGGAAAGAGUUUCGGAAAGAGGAAAGAUAUAAAAAAAAAUCUUGGAGAUCAAGUUGUUCGGAAAGUUGUGAUACAGAAAAAAAAGGAGAAAAAAAAACAGAAAAAAAGAGAGAAGGAGUUCGAGUAAGUUUCGGACCCGAGUCCGACUAGAAUUUUAGUUUCGGGUGGGUUUGACCCAUGUUCAGUAAAACGGGCGUAUCUUUUGCGUACCAACUCGGAUUUGGACGUUCUUGGACUUUUUGGAAAGCUCACGACGAGGCGCAUCAGGAAAUAUCCAGAGGUAAGCCCUGCACUUUGACCCUCAAAUUCCGCUUCUAAGGUGGACUUUCGGAGCUUCCAAGUUGCUGCAUCCGUUUUCCGGCGUCGCUGCAGCCCGGUGUUUUUCAGUUUUCUCCACCGUCCGACAUCCGUUUUGAGUGAUCUUGCCUUUGCUGGAAAGCUUGUGUCGAUACGCUUCUAACCCUUAUUUUUCCAUAUUUUUCGGAAUUUUUCUUACUGCACCCUUUGCUGUUCUUCGACGGACCGACGUACAGUUUUCCGGUCCUUCUUUUGCAUGAGUUUCUGGGGUUAAGAAAAAAAGAAGAAGAAAAGAAUAAGAAGCCAAACAGAAGGCCACAAAAAGAAAAAAAAGAAAAAAAAUCCCAGGGAUUUACUUGUUGUGCCAUCUUUCUAUCUUACCUUUUUCAAUAUCUAGGCUUAGAUUAUUUCUGUAAUUCGUUCUUAUCGACUCCAGCAGCUAGGACUAGCAUUAUUGAGCAUAUUUUCAACUUUGCAUUGCUGAUUUGAUUAUUUGCUAUUCCUUGCUACUCACAAAAGCCUCUAAGCUCCACAGAUUCUACACCUAGGUUGGUUUGUUACCGAGGCAUCGAUACAUUCAAUCUUCGGAGGGUUUGGUUACGCCGCUGGCCAUCACCUUCCUGUUUUGCAUGGUAAGAACUCGUAAGAACUUGAUUUUUAGCUUGAGAGUUGAGCGACUUGUAGCCACAUCCUAGUAGUUGAUAGGAACAUAUUACUGAGAUUUGUUUCUUAUUUUCUACUAACCAUGACAGGACUUACACGAAGCAUGGCAACUAGACCGAUGCUAUCCCGUGACCGCGAUGAGUGCUUUUCACCACGGCCAUCCUCCACGUCUCUUGUUGACAAUGCCACGGUAAGGGUACAAAACAAUCCUUCUAAUACAAUUAAAUUGUGUGUACCUUUCUUUGAGGGGAAAAAUGAUGCUGAAACGUAUAUAGAACCCUCUGGAGUUGGUGUAUCGAUUGCUAAGGCGUUGCCUUCUAGGCUGUAGUCGGAUCGUCAACGUCACCUCCUACCCA